Non-coding RNA from Vigna umbellata (rice bean), 454 nucleotides. NCBI's taxonomy places the organism in Eukaryota, Viridiplantae, Streptophyta, Magnoliopsida, Fabales, Fabaceae. The record is from RefSeq and is a predicted model, not a curated record.
UUUCAUUUUAGAUCUCUUACCUUCUUCUUCUUCUUCUCUGUUAGCCUUUUGUUCCAUCGUUAUUUUGUAUCUGUAUCAGCCUCAUCUUUGUUUUUUUUUUCUUUCUUGUAAAAGGUUCCCAUCUCAAGCUUAUGAGACCAUAGGUGGAGUGAAGAUGGAUCUGUGGCCACUGAAGAAAGGGCAAGAUAAGGAAUGAUUGUAUACGAAGAGAUAUUAGCAUAACUUAUUGAGGAAAAGAAGAUAGAAAUUCGGUAUGCAAAGAAGUCCAUUCGAGGCAUUGGUGAGGAGAGAUGACAUGAUUUCUAGCCCCAUGAGCAGUAAAGAGAGAUCAAAAAGGACAUUGGACAAAUUAAAAGGGAUUUCAUGAUAAUCAUCGGUAGCUUCAUUAAUAUUCUUUCAAGGAUACAUACUUGAGGUAGGCAAGCACAUAUCCGGCGAUAAUGUUUGGAGGCAA